Molecule: small RNA, 740 nt
Filed under: Pongo abelii (Sumatran orangutan)
Lineage: Eukaryota; Metazoa; Chordata; Mammalia; Primates; Hominidae
Description: processed transcript
Source: RNAcentral
AUAGAUGAGAUUGAGCAUUUGGCUGUGUGUGGACACGCUUCAUCGUGCCAACUCAACUAGCCCUCGGAUGGCGGAGGAAGAAAAUCACAAAAGGAAACUUAGGAUCCCCAGGUCCCAGCACAAAAUGCACUUCCCAUUGCCGAGGUGAAACUAUCUGAGGCAUUGAAUGAGGAACAAUACAAUUUUUGAGAACGCUAAGGAGGUGCUUACCAACCCGAACCAACGCAUUUGUUUUUGAGAAACGUGGUGCUUAUUUGCAAAUGCUGAAGAAUACCAGCCUCCAAUAUGGAAAUCAUACUUAUAUCAGUUACAGCAAGAGGCACCUCGUCCCAAGAGAAUCAUUUGUCCUCGGGAGGUGGAAAACAGACCAAAAUAUUAUGGAAGAGAGUUUCACGGGAUCAUCUCCCGGGAGCAGGCGGAUGAGCUUCUUGGAGGCGUGGAGGGUGCCUACAUCCUUAGAGAAAGCCAGCGGCAACCAGGAUGCUACACGCUGGCUCUGAGGUUUGGAAACCAGACCUUAAACUACAGGCUCUUCCAUGACGGGAAACACUUUGUGGGUGAGAAGAGGUUUGAGUCGAUUCACGAUCUGGUGACAGAUGGCUUGAUAACACUGUACAUAGAAACAAAAGCUGCCGAGUACAUUUCAAAAAUGACAACUAACCCCAUCUAUGAACACAUUGGAUAUGCCACCCUACUCAGAGAAAAAGUAUCCAGAAGGCUGAGCAGGUCUAAAAAUGAAC